Molecule: long non-coding RNA, 353 nt
Filed under: Olea europaea subsp. europaea
Lineage: Eukaryota; Viridiplantae; Streptophyta; Magnoliopsida; Lamiales; Oleaceae
Source: RNAcentral
ACUCAAAACAGCAAGAGAAGGAUAAGAAUAACUAGAGAGAGAGAGAUGGCAAGUUUUCCAGUUAUUAACAUGGAGAAUCUCAAUGGAGAAGAAAGGGCUGCAACAAUGGAGAAGAUCAAAGAUGCUUGUGAAAACUGGGGUUUCUUUGAGGUAUAAAUAUAUAAUUAAUUCUGUUAUUAAUACAUAAAACCAAAAGAAUUUUUAAAUUUGUACUAAAAAUUAACGGUUGAUGAUCUUGUAAUUAAGCUGGUGAAUCAUGGGAUUUCUCCCGAAUUCAUGGACACUGUAGAGAGGCUGACAAAGGGGCACUACAGAAAAUGCAUGGAACAAAGAUUUAAGGAAAUGAUGGCAAG